RNAcentral lists this unclassified non-coding RNA (310 nucleotides) under fungal sp. RNAcentral's name for it is "partial internal transcribed spacer region". The record is from RNAcentral. Lineage: Eukaryota; Fungi.
AAGUGAACCUGCGGAAGGAUCAUUAACACGUAUCCAAACGUUAAACAACCCCGUGAACAUACAACCCUGGUCGCCCGCUCGCAUGGACAAGCCCAGUAAAUCAAGCCCCGGAAAGUUUUUGAUUUGGGACCUCUGUGCGCGUGAGAAAAACUGACAGCGAUUCAUAGAAGCGGUAGGUCAAGUGACACGGCGUUCAAGGACGACUCUUCAAGAUUGCUAGAGGUCGACCACCGACCGGCUUCCGUGUAUACCGAGCUAACACCGCUCCCUUCCGAACCCCACUUUAUUGCCUUGCGAUAUCUUGGUUCUC